RNAcentral lists this ribosomal RNA (425 nucleotides) under uncultured bacterium. RNAcentral's name for it is "partial 16S ribosomal RNA". It matches the Rfam family "Bacterial small subunit ribosomal RNA", at positions 359 to 776 of the family's 1533-position model. The record is from RNAcentral.
GAAUUCUGGACAAUGGGCGCAAGCUCGAUCCAGCCAUGCCGCGCUAGUGAAGAAGGCCUGCGGGUUGUUAAGUUCGUUCGGUCGGUCAGAAAUCGCGCAUGCUAAUACCCUGCGCGGAUGACUGUCCCGUCCUCAGAAGCACGGGCUAACUACGUCCCAGCCGCCGCGGUAAUACGUAGGGUGCGAGCUUUUAUCGGAAUUACUGGGCGUAAAGCCUGCGCAGGCGGUUGAUUAAGACAAGCGUGAAAUCCCCGGGCUUAACCUGGGAACUGCGCUUGUGACUGGUCAGCUAGAGUACGGCAGAGGGGGGUGGAAUUCCACGUGUAGCAGUGAAAUGCGUAGAGAUGUGGAGGAACACCGAUGGCGAAGGCAGCCCCCUGGGCAGAUACUGACGCUCAUGCACGAAAGCGUGGGUAGCAAACAGG